Molecule: ribosomal RNA, 172 nt
Filed under: uncultured Pseudomonadota bacterium
Lineage: Bacteria; Pseudomonadati; Pseudomonadota
Description: uncultured proteobacterium partial 16S ribosomal RNA
Rfam family: Bacterial small subunit ribosomal RNA
Source: RNAcentral
ACUCCUACGGGAGGCAGCAGUGGGGAAUAUUGGACAAUGGGCGAAAGCCUGAUCCAGCAAUGCCGCGUGUGUGAAGAAGGUCUUCGGAUUGUAAAGCACUUUCGACGGGGACGAUGAUGACGGUACCCGUAGAAGAAGCCCCGGCUAACUUCGUGCCAGCAGCCGCGGUAAU